Long non-coding RNA from Corapipo altera (White-ruffed manakin), 317 nucleotides. RefSeq lists it as uncharacterized. The record is from RefSeq and is a predicted model, not a curated record. Lineage: Eukaryota; Metazoa; Chordata; Aves; Passeriformes; Pipridae. The transcript has 3 exons.
UUUCAGUUGAGAGAAGCUACAGCAAAGGACUUGUCCAGUGACCAAAGACCUUCUGUGGCCUUUGCUGGAAGCUGCUGUGAGACAGACUCUUCACAGACUUCCCCAGAGCAGGAUUCUGAGGAAGACACAGCUAUUCUGCUGUGAAAAAUACAUCUGCAGCCAACUACUCCUGCUGAAUGCUUAAGAGGGCAGAAAACCAGCUCUAGCCUAAAAAGGCUGAAGUGACUCUUUUGGAAUUUGAACUGAAGCUCCACCCAACAGCUCAAGUGCAGGAAUGCAUUGUUACACAAUUCCUGACGUUCAGGUAGUGUGACUUU